Molecule: non-coding RNA, 288 nt
Organism: Pocillopora verrucosa
Lineage: Eukaryota; Metazoa; Cnidaria; Anthozoa; Scleractinia; Pocilloporidae
Source: RefSeq, a predicted model, not a curated record
CAGGCUUUUCACACAGCCACGAGACUGCGAGGAAAAGUCCUCUGAAAACUUAUUAUAUGAAAGUUUCCAUCAUCGCGUCUCUGUCACAAAAGUAGAAGACAACGUCCUUUAUGAGAGUUUAUCGUUUGCUGAAGGAAGAGAAGAGGAGAAGAACAAAGAGAGUGAAAGUCAUCUUCAUUACAAAACAAUCACGUGAACGAAUUGCCUUCACUCAACCUCGCUUUUUGCCACAGCUGUGGUUUCCCACCAAAGGAGACAAAAUACAGGAGGGAGAGCCUUUUUUUUGAA